Long non-coding RNA from Rhopalosiphum maidis (corn leaf aphid), 398 nucleotides. RefSeq lists it as uncharacterized. Lineage: Eukaryota; Metazoa; Arthropoda; Insecta; Hemiptera; Aphididae. The transcript has 4 exons. The record is from RefSeq and is a predicted model, not a curated record.
ACAAGAUACACCAUCUAAUGUUUCGUUGACCUUCAAUGUUUAUCCAUUUGUUUAUGAACCAUGGCAAAAAUUUAUUUCACUGAGUUCGGAGUGCCUUAACGGAGGAUUUUCAAACCAAAACGGAUGUGUAUGUCAUCCUGGCUUCAAAGGCAAUAACUGCGAAUAUGGAUGUGGAUCGAACAAAUUUGGCACUGACUGUACCGGAAUGUGUUCAAUACAUCAAACGCAGUGUCGACAAAUGAUAUUUUGUACCAAAGGAUUUGGGUGCAAAUGUCCAGCGGGAUAUAGCGGUCUUCACUGCACAAAAGUUGCAGAUAAACUGGAAAAUCUCAGGACAACAGACGUAGGCUCUACGUACAUAUCCCUGAAAUGGGACAUUCCAUGGAUACUCAACGGUG